RNAcentral lists this ribosomal RNA (434 nucleotides) under uncultured Lachnospiraceae bacterium. RNAcentral's name for it is "partial 16S ribosomal RNA". It matches the Rfam family "Bacterial small subunit ribosomal RNA", at positions 341 to 792 of the family's 1533-position model. The record is from RNAcentral. Lineage: Bacteria; Bacillati; Bacillota; Clostridia; Lachnospirales; Lachnospiraceae.
ACGGAAGGCAGCAGUGGGGAAUAUUGCACAAUGGGGGAAACCCUGAUGCAGCGACGCCGCGUGAGUGAAGAAGUUAUUCGUAAUGUAAAGCUCUAUCAGCAGGGAAGAAAAUGACGGUACCUGACUAAGAAGCCCCGGCUAACUACGUGCCAGCAGCCGCGGUAAUACGGAGGAUCCGAGCGUUAUCCGGAUUUAUUGGGUUUAAAGGGUGCGCAGGCGGGCUAGUAAGUCUCUGGUGAAAUGUCAGGGCUCAACCUUGGCACUGCCGGAGAUACUGUUGGCCUUGAGAGUGGCGGAGGUAUCCGGAAUGUGUGGUGUAGCGGUGAAAUGCAUAGAUAUCACACAGAACACCGAUUGCGAAGGCAGGAUACCAUACCAUAUCUGACGCUCAGGCACGAAAGCGUGGGGAUCGAACAGGAUUAGAUACCCUGGUA